This 465-nucleotide ribosomal RNA is filed under the name uncultured bacterium. Its description in RNAcentral is "partial 16S ribosomal RNA". It matches the Rfam family "Bacterial small subunit ribosomal RNA", at positions 338 to 795 of the family's 1533-position model. The record is from RNAcentral.
CCUACGGGGGGCAGCAGUGGGGAAUAUUGCGCAAUGGGCGAAAGCCUGACGCAGCGACGCAGCGUGAGGGAUGAAGGUCUUCGGAUCGUAAACCUCUGUCAGCAGGGAAGAACGGUCACUGUGCUAAUCAGCAGUGAAUUGACGGUACCUGCAAAGGAAGCACCGGCUAACUCCGUGCCAGCAGCCGCGGUAAUACGGAGGGUGCGAGCGUUAAUCGGAAGUACUGGGCGUAAAGCGAUCGUAGGCGGUCUGUCAAGUCAAGGGUGAAAUCCCCGCGCUUAACGGUGGAACUGCCUGUGAAACUGGCAAACUGGAGUGUGUGAGAGGAUAGUGGAAUUCCAGGGGUAGGAGUGAAUUCCGUAGAUAUCUGGAGGAACAUCAGUGGCGAAGGCGACUAUCUGGCACAUAACUGACGCUGAGGAGCGAAAGCGUGGGUAGCAAACAGGAUUAGAUACCCCAGUAGUC